UACUCUAAAUGUAGAUUUAGAGGUACUGUAUUUCUGUCAAGUAUUUAUAUACGAUUUCUCGCAAGAAAUCCACU
This 74-nucleotide non-coding RNA is filed under the name unclassified sequences. RNAcentral describes it as "RT-6 RNA". It matches the Rfam family "RT-6 RNA". From Rfam's summary of the family: Firmicutes. Nearby to self-splicing intron genes The record is from Rfam by way of RNAcentral.